RNAcentral lists this ribosomal RNA (473 nucleotides) under uncultured Pelotomaculum sp. Its description in RNAcentral is "bacterial SSU rRNA". It matches the Rfam family "Bacterial small subunit ribosomal RNA", at positions 910 to 1382 of the family's 1533-position model. The record is from RNAcentral. Lineage: Bacteria; Bacillati; Bacillota; Clostridia; Eubacteriales; Desulfotomaculaceae.
UUGACGGGGCCCGCACGAGCGGUGGAGCAUGUGGUUAAUUCGACGCAACGCGAAGAACCUUACCAGGGCUUGACAUCCCCUGACCGCGUAUGAAAGUACGUUUUCACCCUCGGGUGACAGGGAGACAGGUGGUGCAUGGUUGUCGUCAGCUCGUGUCGUGAGAUGUUGGGUUAAGUCCCGCAACGAGCGCAACCCCUACGUUUAGUUGCUAACGCGUGAAGGCGAGCACUCUAGACGAACUGCCGUUGACAAAACGGAGGAAGGUGGGGAUGACGUCAAAUCAUCAUGCCCCUUAUGUUCUGGGCUACACACGUGCUACAAUGGCCGGUACAGACGGACGCAAAGCCGCGAGGUGGAGCAAAUCCUAAAAAGCCGGUCUCAGUUCAGAUUGCAGGCUGCAAUUCGCCUGCAUGAAGUCGGAAUCGCUAGUAAUCGCAGGUCAGCAUACUGCGGUGAAUACGUUCCCGGGCCUU